RNAcentral lists this long non-coding RNA (1022 nucleotides) under Salmo salar (Atlantic salmon). Its description in RNAcentral is "lncRNA (ENSSSAG00000092397.1)". Lineage: Eukaryota; Metazoa; Chordata; Actinopteri; Salmoniformes; Salmonidae. The record is from RNAcentral.
CACAAUGCUUCAGGCGACUCGGAAUGUUAUGGAGGUCAAAAUAAAGGAGAUGGAUGAGUUGAAAAGAAGAGACAGAUUAGGAGUGGAGAGAGGGAGAUGAAAAGAAGAGCCGUAUUAGGAGUGGAGAUUAAAUUAGUUACCCACAUCACCAGUCUUCACCUCUACCACCGUAUCUCUCUAAGCCCCAGAAGUAGAGGGUCACAUGGGCAGGAAGUCGUCCACCUCCAGGUUGCACACAUACCAGAAGAUAAGGCUGAGAAAGAUGAUGAUGGGUCCAGAGAAGACCAAGAGGUCCCAGAAGAUGAAGAAAGCAAAAAUGCCCAGGAAGAGGCCUGUAGCGUCCAGGAAGAUGAAGAGAAGGCAGCGACCCAGCUGAGUGUCGGUACAGGUGCCGAGUGUCGGUACAGGUGCUGAUUGUCGGUACAGGUAAUCUACCCUACACUACAGUGCAUCGGACUGAAUUACGAGGAAGCAAGGAAGAGGAUGCGUUUUAAAGACCCUGGUACAUUCCAAUGAGCUGGAGCUAUCAAACAUCACAUAGUUCCUAUAGCAGGACUGCUGCCAAGGGGAGAUGUGUUUAUGUCUCACUAAUGAUGACAAGACGAGGUAACAAGCCAGUUUCUGGAAUGGAGAUGUAGUCCUUGUGCCGGGCCCGGAGAUUGCUUCAGCGCGGGGCCUCUCCCUGAAUGAAAGUCGUCUUCUAUAUUUAAAGUGUCUUUAGUUCAUAUAGGCAAAAAGGUUUACAGUCUGUAUGGAUUUAAAAAGCAGCACUUGGGGAGGAGCGGGGCAUACUUUCUUCAAAACCGGAGAACCAGAGAUCACCUGCAACAGAGGAAAAGAGCAAGUGAGAAUGAGAACACCAAGAAGACAAAAACAUCUGAAAGAAAAUAAUGGUUUUAGUCACCUUUAUUUCCUAGCACUGUGUUAUUUCGCAACGUCCCUUCUGGGACAAUAAAGAUUUAUUGAUUCAAAUGUUUCAGUCACCAUGUUAUAUCACAUGGACAGAUGAGAGAUGGUAGGAG